Bos taurus (domestic cattle) is the source of this 1120-nucleotide long non-coding RNA. The record is from Ensembl. NCBI's taxonomy places the organism in Eukaryota, Metazoa, Chordata, Mammalia, Artiodactyla, Bovidae.
GUAGAGCUUUUGCUAGCUACUCCGGAGGCCGUAGCGCCCUUGGCAUCCGUGAGUGCUCGGCUCCUGAAUGGAGCCGACAGCGUCUUUUCACGCACGCAUGCACACUUAGGGAAUGUCUGCUGUAUGCUUUUUUGGGUCACUCACCCUGGAAGGCAGGAGUUGUCCCUCACUACUGAGGAAACUGGGGCUCAGUGUGGGAAGGCUGGGCCAAGGUUAUGCCACCUCUGGAAAUGUGAGCACCGAGUUUCGCGCCUCCUCUUACUGGCUCCUGUGUAUAAUGCUCUCUUUCCAGUGGAUUCCCUAGCUUUGCCCUUCAUCAGCCUUUUGUGCCCCAGCAGUCUCUGGCCUGUUCCCACGUUUGUCCUUCUGCCUGGAGUUCAGUCCCCAGCACAAGCCCUGGCACAUAACAGGCACUCUUAUUCCUGCCCUAGGGCAUCUUGUCUCCAGCUCUUAUAACAACAUCUUUUGCCCUGGACUGUCAUGGUCUGCCACCAAGCGCAACUUACGAGCCUUAGGAAGACUGUUACCUUGGGCUUGGCAUCAAAUGUAAUCACACAGCCUGACUCACAUCAAGUGACCUGACUAGCUAGCUUUGUGACUUUGGAGGCUUGCUUGUUCUAUCUGUGGAAUGAGGAUAAAAAUCAAACUCCUUAGAGAUGAGCGUUUAAUGAGCCCUUAGAGCAUUCUAAGUGCUCAGGAAGUCUGCCGGCAGCUGCUUCCUAUAACCUCCUGCUGUCAAGUUGCUGUCCCUGAGGCCAGCUCUAACACUCACUUUUCUGGAAACACCAUGAAGCAUAUUUUUCCCACAGAAGGCACUCGACUUCUUCCUCUGCCUGGGGCACUGUAACUGGUUCAGGAAGGGAGAUUCUCGGCUACUCUGAAAGUGGGAUCUUCCCAACCUGGGGAUUGAACCCAGGUCUCCGGCAUUGCAGGCAGAUUCUUUACCAGCUGAGCCACAAGGGAAGCUACUCUCAAGAAGGUUCAGGUCCAUAAACUUGACAGAGGGAAGAAGAUUGAGAGAACUUGAAGACACCACAGUUAAGAUAGCCUCCACCAAGACAGCAGGUCUUCUGGGAGAGCUGGCAGUAUCCUGAGACUUGAUGCCAGGCUGGGUAUAGGG